Molecule: ribosomal RNA, 305 nt
Filed under: uncultured bacterium
Lineage: Bacteria
Description: bacterial SSU rRNA
Rfam family: Bacterial small subunit ribosomal RNA
Source: RNAcentral
CCUACGGGGGGCAGCAGUGAGGAAUAUUGGUCAAUGGGCGCGAGCCUGAGCCAGCCAAGUCGCGUGAGGGAGGACGGCCCUACGGGUUGUAAACCUCUUUUGCCGGGAGCAACGGGCGUCACGUGUGGCGCCACUGAGAGUACCCGGAGAAAAAGCAUCGGCUAACUCCGUGCCAGCAGCCGCGGUAAUACGGAGGAUGCGAGCGUUAUCCGGAUUUAUUGGGUUUAAGGGGUGCGUAGGCGGUUUGUCAAGUCAGCGGUAAAAAUUCCGGGCUCAACCCGGUCCCGCCGUUGAAACUGGCGAAC